GAGGUGGUGUGUGAUGAGCAUGGCAUUGACCCAACUGGGCGGUACACAGGCAACUCUGACCUGCAGUUGGAGCGUGUCAAUGUCUACUACAACGAGGCCUCCUGUGGCCGCUUUGUGCCCCGUGCUGUCCUCAUGGACCUUGAGCCUGGGACAAUGGACAGUGUCCGCACUGGACCCUAUGGGCAGAUCUUCCGCCCUGACAACUUUGUGUUUGGGCAAUCUGGAGCCGGUAACAACUGGGCUAAGGGCCAUUACACUGAGGGUGCUGAGCUCAUUGACUCUGUUCUGGACGUUGUGAGGAAGGAAGCAGAGAACUGUGACUGCCUGCAAGGUACUUGAGCUUAUUGACAUUAACUGAUUGCUGGUAGUUAUUAGAUCAGUUUCUGUUGAAACAAUUAGGGUGAGAUGCUCAUGUAGAAGUAUCUCCUACUGUUUUAAUUUUUUUUUGUUUUUAACAUGCAUGUGAAUUAUUAUGAAGCUGCUCUUGCUCGUCCUAGUUCGAGUCCUAUAUUCCUGCACUGUCCUUAAUGACAUUGUUACUUAUUACUGAUUGUUUAGAAAUUUUGUAUUUUAGUACCUAUAUUUUGUGCCAUUGGCAUAUCUACAUUGAACAAAUGGCAUGCAUAGCAAGCUGUUAUAACUGAUCAUCAAUGUCUUAUCUGUGUCCUAUUUCUUUGUUGGAAUGUUUUUUUCUAUUGACCAGGCAACAUUAACGCCAUCUUUUUGUUUGUUCAGGAUUCCAAGUAUGCCACUCUCUUGGUGGUGGUACUGGAUCUGGUAUGGGUACGCUGUUGAUCUCAAAGAUCAGGGAGGAGUACCCUGACCGCAUGAUGCUGACAUUCUCAGUUUUCCCCUCACCGAAAGUAUCUGAUACCGUGGUUGAGCCAUACAAUGCCACUCUUUCAGUCCACCAGUUGGUUGAGAAUGCUGAUGAGUGCAUGGUUCUUGACAAUGAGGCCCUCUAUGACAUUUGCUUCAGGACUCUCAAGCUGACCACGCCUAGCUGUAAGCAGCCUUCAAUCUUAAUCAAUUUUAUCUUUUCAGCACUGUGGAUAUAUGCAUGCAUGUAUUGCCUGUGUAUGAUAACAUAUUCUGCAUGUCUGUUAAUUUCUGCAGUUGGGGAUUUGAACCAUUUGAUCUCUGCUACCAUGAGUGGAGUCACCUGCUGCCUUAGGUUCCCUGGUCAGCUGAACUCGGAUCUCCGGAAGCUGGCAGUGAACCUGAUCCCCUUCCCCCGUCUCCACUUCUUCAUGGUCGGCUUCGCCCCACUGACCUCCCGUGGCUCCCAGCAGUACCGUGCCCUCACUGUCCCUGAGCUCACACAGCAGAUGUGGGAUGCCAAGAACAUGAUGUGCGCUGCUGACCCUCGCCAUGGGCGUUACCUCACUGCCUCUGCCAUGUUCCGUGGGAAGAUGAGCACCAAGGAGGUGGACGAGCAGAUGAUCAACGUCCAGAACAAGAACUCGUCCUACUUCGUGGAGUGGAUCCCCAACAACGUGAAGUCCAGUGUGUGUGACAUCCCGCCAAGGGGCCUGUCCAUGGCGUCCACCUUCAUUGGCAACUCAACCUCUAUCCAGGAGAUGUUCCGGAGGGUGAGCGAGCAGUUCACAGCCAUGUUCAGGAGGAAGGCUUUCUUGCACUGGUACACAGGCGAGGGCAUGGACGAGAUGGAGUUCACUGAGGCCGAGAGCAACAUGAACGACCUCGUGUCGGAAUACCAGCAGUACCAGGACGCGACCGCGGACGAGGAGGGUGAGUACGAGGACGAGGAAGAGGAGAUGAACCCCGACGACAUGUGAGAUCUGUGACCAUGAGGCUCUGGUGGUUGUAGCCUUCUAUGGCAGGCAGAUUUCGAUGGGUUGUUCCUUACGUGUUUUGUUGCCAUGUUACUACUGCUAGCGUACCACCGUCCUGCCACUGUCCGUCGCUGUUGAUGCUUGUAUUUUCCUUAUGCUAUGGAGUCUUGCUUUUGGUACUGUAUUAC
RNAcentral lists this long non-coding RNA (1984 nucleotides) under Setaria viridis. RNAcentral's name for it is "long non-coding RNA (SVIR_LNC006113)". The record is from RNAcentral. Lineage: Eukaryota; Viridiplantae; Streptophyta; Magnoliopsida; Poales; Poaceae.